UACGAAGGGGCUAGCGUUGUUCGGAAUUACUGGGCGUAAAGCGAGCGUAGGUUGCUCGAUAAGUCAGUGGUGAAAUCCCAGAGCUCAACUCUGGAACUGCCAUUGAAACUGUCGAGCUGGAAUCUCAGAGGGGUAGCGGAAUUCCAAAUGUAGGGGUGAAAUCCGUAGAUAUUUGGAGGAACACCGGUGGCGAAGGCGGCUACCUGGAUGAGUAUUGGACACUGAGGCUCGAAAGCGUGGGGAUCAAACAGG
RNAcentral lists this ribosomal RNA (252 nucleotides) under uncultured bacterium. RNAcentral describes it as "partial 16S ribosomal RNA". It matches the Rfam family "Bacterial small subunit ribosomal RNA", at positions 524 to 776 of the family's 1533-position model. The record is from RNAcentral.